UUCCUACGGGAGGCUGCAGCUAAGAAUAUUCCGCAAUGGACGAAAGUCUGACGGAGCGACGCCGCGUGGAUGAGGAAGGCCGAAAGGUUGUAAAGUCCUUUUGUCGAUGAAGAAUAAGCGGUGGAGGGAAUGCCAUCGUGAUGACGUUAGUCGGCGAAUAAGCCCCGGCUAAUUACGUGCCAGCAGCCGCGGUAACACGUAAGGGGCAAGCGUUGUUCGGAAUUAUUGGGCGUAAAGGGCGCGUAGGCGGACCUGCAAGCCCGGCGGGAAAUCCUGGAGCUUAACGCCGGAACUGCGCUGGGAACUGCGGGACUAGAGUCAUGGAGGGGGAGUUGGAAUUCCAGGUGUAGGGGUGAAAUCUGUAGAUAUCUGGAAGAACACCGGUGGCGAAGGCGAACUUCUAGCCAAUGACUGACGCUGAGGCGCGAAAGUGCGGGGAGCAAACAGGAUUAGAUACCCUAGUAGUC
RNAcentral lists this ribosomal RNA (467 nucleotides) under uncultured Treponema sp. RNAcentral's name for it is "bacterial SSU rRNA". It matches the Rfam family "Bacterial small subunit ribosomal RNA", at positions 336 to 795 of the family's 1533-position model. Lineage: Bacteria; Pseudomonadati; Spirochaetota; Spirochaetia; Treponematales; Treponemataceae. The record is from RNAcentral.